AGAGUUUGAUCCUGGCUCAGGAUGAACGCUGGCGGCGUGCCUAAUACAUGCAAGUCGAACGGAGCACUUCGGUGCUUAGUGGCGAACGGGUGAGUAAUAUAUGAACAACCUACCCCUUUGACCGGGAUAACACACUGAAAAGCGUGCUAAUACCGGAUAGGCGAUCGAGAGGCAUCUCUUGAUUAUUAAAGGAGCGCAUGCUCCACAUUGGGAUGGGUUCAUAUCGCAUUAGCUAGUUGGUGAGGUAACGGCCCACCAAGGCGAUGAUGCGUAGCCGAUCUGAGAGGAUGACCGGCCACAUUGGGACUGAGACACGGCCCAGACUCCUACGGGAGGCAGCAGUAGGGAAUUUUCGGCAAUGGGCGCAAGCCUGACCGAGCAACGCCGCGUGAACGAUGAAGGUCUUAUGGAUUGUAAAGUUCUGUUACGAGGGAAGAACAGCACUGAUAGGAAAUGAUCAGUGUGUGACGGUACCUCGCCAGAAAGCCACGGCUAACUACGUGCCAGCAGCCGCGGUAAUACGUAGGUGGCAAGCGUUAUCCGGAAUCAUUGGGCGUAAAGGGUGCGUAGGCGGCUUCUUAAGUUUGUAGUGAAAUCGUAGGGCUCAACUCUAUCUAGCUACAAAAACUGGGAAGCUGGAGUGCGGUAGAGGCUAGUGGAAUUCCUAGUGUAGCGGUGAAAUCCGUAGAUAUUAGAAAGAACACCGAUAGCGUACGCAGGCUACUGGGACGUUUCUGACACUAAGCACGAAAGCGUAGGGAGCAAACGGGAUUAGAUACCCCGGUAGUCUACGCUGUAAACGAUGGAUACUAGCAGUUUCGGGUAUCGACCCC
This 833-nucleotide ribosomal RNA is filed under the name uncultured bacterium. RNAcentral's name for it is "bacterial SSU rRNA". It matches the Rfam family "Bacterial small subunit ribosomal RNA", at positions 8 to 839 of the family's 1533-position model. The record is from RNAcentral.